GGACGAACGCUGGCGGCGUGCCUAAUACAUGCAAGUCGAACGGUUUAGUUCCAAGAGGCUUGCCUUUUGGAACUAGACAGUGGCGGACGGGUGAGUAACACGUAGGCAACCUACCUGUCAAACCGGGAUAACCUCGGGAAACCGAAGCUAAACCCGGAUAAGCUCCUUUUUCGCAUGAAGGGGGAGUGAAAAGGUGCGACCUGAUGACAGAUGGGCCUGCGGCGCAUUAGCUAGUAGGUAGGGUAACGGCCUACCUAGGCGAUGAUGCGUAGCCGACCUGAGAGGGCGUACGGCCACACUGGGACUGAGAUACGGCCCAGACUCCUACGGGAGGCAGCAGUAGGGAAUCUUCGGCAAUGGGCGAAAGCCUGACCGAGCAACGCCGCGUGAGUGAGGAAGGCCUUCGGGUUGUAAAACUCUGUUGUUUGGGAAGAAGGGAAAGGGUAGGACCCUUUGGUGACGGUACCAAACGAGAAAGCCCCGGCUAACUACGUG
This 495-nucleotide ribosomal RNA is filed under the name uncultured bacterium. RNAcentral describes it as "partial 16S ribosomal RNA". It matches the Rfam family "Bacterial small subunit ribosomal RNA", at positions 27 to 507 of the family's 1533-position model. The record is from RNAcentral.